GAGGGACGGCGUGAGGGAUCUCCUCCAUCGCCAACGCGGCGAUGGUGUUUGGAGAUCGAAGGGGUCGGGAUGGAACGGACCCCAAGGGAUUGAUAAGGGGCAAAGGGAUUGAUAGGAGAUCAAGGGAUUGAUCAGGGGGCCAAGGGAUUGGUAAGGGAUGAGAGGACUGAUAAUGGUCAAAGGGAUUGAUAAGGGGCCAAGGGAUUGAUAAGGGAUGAGAGGACUGAUAAUGGUCAAAGAGAUUGACAAGGGUCCAAGGGAUUGAUUAGGGGGCCAAGGGAUUGAUAAGAGAUCAAGGAAUUGAUAAGGAAGCCGAAGGAUUGAUAAGGGUCAAAGGGAUUGAUAAGGGGGCCAAAGGAUUGACAAGAGAUCAAGAGAUUGAUAAGGGAUCAGAGGACUGAUAAGGGAUCCAGGGGUAGAAGGGUCCUUGCAGGUUAACCAGGGAGUGGUUGGGUUGGAAGGGUCCUUGAAGAUCGCCCUCAGAACCACGCGAUCAUAGAAAUGGGGUUGAAGGGUCCGUGUGUGGGACCCGAUGGCCUUUCCAGGUUCCCUCCGCCUCAGUCCAUUCUGUGAUCCGAUGAUUCCCAUCAUCUGCGCGGACUGAGCUGACAGAGCAAACGCUGCAGAGCUUUAUGGAGCUUCAAAAGGUCAAAAUCCCUCCAGGGUACUCACAAAGACACUCCGGCAAUCUGCCUCAAAAGCAGAGCAGCAAAUUGCAAUGGAUGAAAGAGUCGAGAGCUUCAGAUUUGGGGAACCCAGGGGAAAACAAAAAACAAAAAAACAAACAACAACCCCAAAUCUCAUUUGUAAAACCCCAGGAUAAAGCAUUUAUCCCCAAAUUCUCCGGGACACAACGAUGGGAUCCACAUUCUGGGAUUGUUUUGGUCAAUCCAGGAGACGUCGGCCGGGUGCAGUUGUUUUCCUGCCCACAUUCUGCCCUCACUUCAGGGACAGCCCCUCCUGGAAGAUGUCUUCUCUGCCAGAUCAGCUCCCCAAAGUCCCCAGUGAAGCCUCAAACACAAAAUAUCCCCCCAUUCAAAACAAAUCUGCCUCCUGCUCACCGCUCUGCUCCCAAAACCCUUCACCGACUUCAGAGUUUGGGCCGACACACAUUCAAGCUUACAAAUUUGACAGGGGGAAGGGGAGGGAAACCUAUUUACUGCUCAUUGGCCGUGAAUAUUUGAUUGCCAACAGCGUCCGCCUGCAGUCGUGAUCUCCCCACCGCUGAGAAGAACAUAUCCCACAUUUAUGAAUGGGCCCCGGAUUUGUGAAUGGCAUUUGGUACUGCUGAGAAGAACUCAUCCCACAUUUAUGAAUGGGCCCCGGAUUUGUGAAUGGCAUUUGGUACUGCGGAGAAGAACUCAUCACACAUUUAUGAAUGGGCACUGAAGUUGUGAAUGGCGCACGGCACCGCUGAGCAGAACACGUCUCGCAUUUAUGAAUGGGCACUGAAGUUGUGAAUGGCAGAACAGAAUCACAACAGCACCGCUCUCCAUUUUAGGAACAAAGUGCCCCCCCCCC
This is a long non-coding RNA of Gallus gallus (chicken), 1521 nucleotides long. RefSeq lists it as uncharacterized. The transcript is spliced from 3 exons. NCBI's taxonomy places the organism in Eukaryota, Metazoa, Chordata, Aves, Galliformes, Phasianidae. The record is from RefSeq and is a predicted model, not a curated record.